Molecule: long non-coding RNA, 1441 nt
Organism: Capra hircus (goat)
Lineage: Eukaryota; Metazoa; Chordata; Mammalia; Artiodactyla; Bovidae
Exons: 3
Source: RefSeq, a predicted model, not a curated record
AAGGGGUGGGGGCGCGUGACUGGUCCGUUUGGAAGCCACGGGGAGUGGAGGCUCAUCUGCCCACGAUCACUGCAGGCCCAGGCCCCCGACGGUUGCGGAACCGAGGAGCCCAGCCUGUCUCCGUGGUAACCGGCUGGCCGCAGAGGACUGUGGGAAGUGUAACUGGGCAGGACCCGCCAGUACUCGAGAUCCGAGGGGUUGCCGUUAUACCGCCAGCCACCCGGGGCAGAACGAUUUUGCGGCGUCCGGGCGUCGUCGUCCUGCCGUCUAUUUGGCCUCUGAUCACCCAGGCAGAACAUUUCCGAAAUUAAAGAAGCUCAUGAAGAAUUUAUCUGAAACAUAACUCUCUCAGGGCACAAGUUAAGGCUCCCUGGGGACUUCUCCAGUCAAGAAUGACCCCAGCAAUGGUGGGGGCUGUGUCCUUGGCCCCCACCCAGAUCCAGUCCCAUAGACUGGCGUCCAGGGAACCUCCCAGAGGGGAAGUUGAGCAGCUGGCCUGCCCCAGAGAAGAGUUUCGAGCAGGAGAGAGAAGAGAGGAGCCAGGAAGGUGACCAGAGUGACCAGAACUGCCAGCCAGAUAUAAAACUCUUUGAGGAAGAACCACCCCAUGUCCCUUGGACUCACAGCACCUCUGAGCAUCGAGGGAUUCGGGAUGACGUGGGGAUCGGUGACUGUAUACAGCUGUGGAUGCAGACAGAUGGAUUUGUGACUCAGGGUCAUCACGCAUGGAGGCACGCUUACCCCUGCCUGAAGACAUGACCUGCCUUCUCGGGGAUGGUUGUCAGCCAUUCUCUUCCAGGUCACACAGGAGGAAGGUGAUCUCAUCUUUAUUGCCACCCCUUCCCCCACCCUGACCUGAAAGCUGAAUUAGCCCUGACGUUCAUAAGGUGGCAGAGGCCCUUGGCUCUGUCUGGGAGGCAUUGCUGGCUAUCAUGUGUUGUGCUAACCUUGGGAGUGACCUUGAUUGGGGAGGCAGGGAACAAGCAAGAAAUUAGUAUGUUGGAGAGCUGGCCAGUGUCCCGGUUACGGAUGGCUGGCUCAGGUUCCACCCCCAAGAUGAACUUGGAGCUCUUUGAGAGCAAGACCUAUGUCUGAAGCAUCUCUGUAUUCAUAGUGCCUCGAUUAACACCUGGCAUGUAGCAGGUGUUCGUCCGACACUGGGCACUCCUGUAGUUGCCAGCAACCAAAGUUACCAGCAAGGAGGUAACAGGAAAACAGAUGUUAAUGGCUGUACUGGAAAGUCCCACCUGUGCUGGCCGCCACAAAUGCAUCAUCCUUUGCUAUACAGCAGAGUUCUGGGUCCCGAGCACAAAAUGCAGGAACAGCUCUUGUGUUUUGUUAACUGCAAAAUCUCUAUCUCCCCUACCAAAAAAAAAGGGGGGGGGGACAGACUCUAUGUAUAUAUCCAUGGAUUUAUAUAGCCAUGGCUUGCUCUUCUAAA